CUGGUUUUUUUUCUCAUUUGCUUGGCAUAUUUGACAUAUUCUCAAUUUUCUUAAAUAAUUUCCCUUAUUUGACUUUGCUUCUUCAUUACUGAUUUUUUUACUAAACUAAUCUGGGUUUGUUAACAGUUCAAGAAAAUAAUUUACUCCAAUGAAGAAAUUGACAAAGUGCGAUUCGAAUGGGCGGAUUGCGUACUAGACUAUAUUCAUUACUAGAUCAAUUUGCAACUCUUGGCAACUUGUUACUUGCAAAAUGAAAAAGCAUAUUGUGCCUACCAAAUACUCAAAGGUCGGGCAAUUCGUGAGGCUUGAGUUUUUUUUAUGCA
Molecule: long non-coding RNA, 323 nt
Organism: Zingiber officinale
Lineage: Eukaryota; Viridiplantae; Streptophyta; Magnoliopsida; Zingiberales; Zingiberaceae
Exons: 3
Source: RefSeq, a predicted model, not a curated record